UAGGGAAUCUUCCGCAAUGGGCGAAAGCCUGACGGAGCAACGCCGCGUGAGUGAUGAAGGUCUUCGGAUCGUAAAACUCUGUUAUUAGGGAAGAACAAAUGUGUAAGUAACUAUGCACGUCUUGACGGUACCUAAUCAGAAAGCCACGGCUAACUACGUGCCAGCAGCCGCGGUAAUACGUAGGUGGCAAGCGUUAUCCGGAAUUAUUGGGCGUAAAGCGCGCGUAGGCGGUUUUUUAAGUCUGAUGUGAAAGCCCACGGCUCAACCGUGGAGGGUCAUUGGAAACUGGAAAACUUGAGUGCAGAAGAGGAAAGUGGAAUUCCAUGUGUAGCGGUGAAAUGCGCAGAGAUAUGGAGGAACACCAGUGGCGAAGGCGACUUUCUGGUCUGUAACUGACGAUGAUGUGCGAAAGCGUGGGAAUCAAACAGG
RNAcentral lists this ribosomal RNA (429 nucleotides) under Bacteroidota bacterium. RNAcentral describes it as "Bacteroidetes bacterium partial 16S ribosomal RNA". It matches the Rfam family "Bacterial small subunit ribosomal RNA", at positions 355 to 776 of the family's 1533-position model. The record is from RNAcentral. Lineage: Bacteria; Pseudomonadati; Bacteroidota.